This 67-nucleotide transfer RNA is filed under the name Phytomia zonata. RNAcentral describes it as "tRNA-Cys". The record is from RNAcentral. Lineage: Eukaryota; Metazoa; Arthropoda; Insecta; Diptera; Syrphidae.
GGUUUUAUAGUCAAUAAUGAUGUUAGAUUGCAAUUCUAAAGGAAUAAUUUAAAAGUUAUUAAAACUU